This 159-nucleotide unclassified non-coding RNA is filed under the name uncultured Beauveria. Its description in RNAcentral is "sequence contains ITS1". Lineage: Eukaryota; Fungi; Ascomycota; Sordariomycetes; Hypocreales; Cordycipitaceae. The record is from RNAcentral.
CUGAGUUACAAACUCCAAACCCUUGUGAACCUACCAACGUUGCUUCGGCGUGCCGUGCCGGGCGCGGCUCCGGCCGUGACCCGGGUCACAGGCGGCCGCCGGGGACCCAAACCUCUGUAUUCCAUAGCGGACCUUCUGAGUGGCAUAAGCAAAUAAUUA